CAAAGAAUGAGGUCGGACACU
RNAcentral lists this microRNA (21 nucleotides) under Sus scrofa (pig). RNAcentral's name for it is "ssc-miR-9790-3p". The record is from miRBase by way of RNAcentral. Lineage: Eukaryota; Metazoa; Chordata; Mammalia; Artiodactyla; Suidae.